AUAUUGUGCUAGGGGGGCCGGAAAAGGCCGGCUGAGAUAUAGAUCCGCUAAAUCUAUGACCCUGUAACCUGAUCUGGGUAAUGCCAGCGUAGGGAAAGCUCCGAAACUUGUGG
RNAcentral lists this non-coding RNA (113 nucleotides) under Thermosinus carboxydivorans. RNAcentral describes it as "TPP sequence". It matches the Rfam family "TPP riboswitch aptamer (THI element)". From Rfam's summary of the family: Vitamin B(1) in its active form thiamin pyrophosphate (TPP) is an essential coenzyme that is synthesised by coupling of pyrimidine and thiazole moieties in bacteria. The previously detected thiamin-regulatory element, thi box was extended, resulting in a new, highly conserved RNA secondary structure, the THI element, which is widely distributed in eubacteria and also occurs in some archaea. The record is from RNAcentral. RNAcentral also lists the same sequence under 1 other name. Lineage: Bacteria; Bacillati; Bacillota; Negativicutes; Selenomonadales; Sporomusaceae.